AUAUUGGAUAAUGGGCGAAAGCCUGAUCCAGCUAUGCCGCGUGUGUGAAGAAGUUCUUCGGUUUGUAAAGCACUUUAAGUUGGGAGGAAGGGCAGUCAGUUACUAUCUUGCUGUUUGGACGUUACCGACAGAAUAUGCACCGGCUAGCUUCGUGCCAGAAGCCGCGGUAAUACGAAGGGUGCAAGCGUUAAUCGGAAUUACUGGGCGUAAAGCGCGCGUAGGUGGUUUGUUAAGUUGAAAGAGAAAGCCCCGGGGUCAACCUGGGAACUGCUUUCAAAACUGACAAGCUAGAGUAUGGCAGAGGGUGAUGGAAUUUCCUGUGUAGAGGUGAAAUGCGUAGAUAUAGGAAGGAACACCAGUGGCGAAGGCGACUACCUGGACUGAUACUGACACUGAGGUGCGAAAGCGUGGGGAGCAAAC
RNAcentral lists this ribosomal RNA (420 nucleotides) under uncultured bacterium. Its description in RNAcentral is "partial 16S ribosomal RNA". It matches the Rfam family "Bacterial small subunit ribosomal RNA", at positions 361 to 773 of the family's 1533-position model. The record is from RNAcentral.